GGUUAGGGUUAGGGUUAGGGUUGGAGUUAGGGUUAGUGUUGGAGCUAGGGUUAGGGUUGGGCUUGGAGCUAGGAUUUUUCUGAGUGCACUGAACCAACUCCCGAGUCUCUAGGACGUUCCUAAAAAAAAUUGAUUUUUUUCCCAUAGGAAUGCAUGGGUUCGGGUUAUGGUUAGGGUUAGGGUUGGAGCUAGGGUUAGGGUUAGGGUUAGGGUUGGAGUUAGGGUUAGUGUUGGAGCUAGGGUUAGGGUUGGGCUUGGAGCUAGGAUUUUUCUGAGUGCAAUGAACCAACUCCCAAGUCUCUUGGACGUUCCUAAAAAAAAUUGAUUUUUUCCCAUAGGAAUGCAUGGGUUAGGGUUAGGGUUAGGGUUGGAGCUAGGGUUAGGGUUAGGGUUAGGGUUGGAGUUAGGGUUAGUGUUGGAGCUAGGGUUAGGGUUGGGCUUGGAGCUAGGAUUUUUCUGAGUGCAAUGAACCAACUCCCGAGUCUCUAGGAUGUUCCUAAAAAA
Xyrichtys novacula (pearly razorfish) is the source of this 504-nucleotide non-coding RNA. The record is from the annotation of a GenBank genome assembly. NCBI's taxonomy places the organism in Eukaryota, Metazoa, Chordata, Actinopteri, Labriformes, Labridae.